AUGUGAAACCAUGUUCACCUCGUCACCUGGAGUUUGUUCAGGGAAAAAUUUACAUGAACUCCACCCACCAAGGUUAAAAAGCCACGAGACUAGUAGGAUUUGUACAAACACUUCACAGGAAUGAUAAGAGAAUGACGUGUCAUUGUGUACAUUUGUACCACAUUGUAUAAGACGAAUAGUUCUACUGGCAUAGUUGUGUGUUCUUCAAUCUGUGAUUAAAUCACGUGCACCGUGUUGGAUAUUGGGAUGCUUUAUGGCCAUUGUGGCAUGACUUGGACUUGUGGCUCCUAGGAAGAAGUUGAAAUUUAACAGAAGACGAACAGAAAGACUAUGGACAAUCUUUGAUCAGAGAAUUAAGCUCGGGGAGGUGUCGUCACUGAAGUCUUCCUUACCCAAGCAUACUACACAUGGAUGUGGACGGUUUGGUUAAACUUAGCCC
Ostrea edulis (European flat oyster) is the source of this 439-nucleotide long non-coding RNA. RefSeq lists it as uncharacterized. The transcript is spliced from 3 exons. The record is from RefSeq and is a predicted model, not a curated record. NCBI's taxonomy places the organism in Eukaryota, Metazoa, Mollusca, Bivalvia, Ostreida, Ostreidae.